Long non-coding RNA from Octopus bimaculoides (California two-spot octopus), 910 nucleotides. RefSeq lists it as uncharacterized. The record is from RefSeq and is a predicted model, not a curated record. Lineage: Eukaryota; Metazoa; Mollusca; Cephalopoda; Octopoda; Octopodidae.
ACGGCAAAAUUUGUCGGUACAGAAAGAUAUAUGAACAUAGUAGGGUGGCACAUGUGUUUGCUACUUUCAGAAAAGCAGGUAGAAGAAGUGAGGAAAUACAAAAGAGGUUAUAAGUUCUGGAAAAUCAAUACAGACGCUAAAAGGAUACCAGACAGCACAGGAUAUGAAGAACUAUUAGAGGAAUUUGGUGUAGAUGUGGUAAAAGGACUCCCAAGGAAUCAGCAAAUUAUCAAAAUGUCGCCUGGCGUCUGCCUGUUGGAGGAAAGGAAGAAAAUUGAUGAUCUAACCUCUCCGUCUAUCUCUCUGCUACGUACAAAAUCUAAUGGAUGAGAAAUCUAAUGGAGUCAGGAUUUGCCUCUAAAAAACAUAACAAUGAACAAAGAAAAAUAACUACAAAACAAACAGAAAACAUUUGAAGUAUAUUAUUGCACUAUUGAACAUAGAAACGCCAGAAAAUGAAAAGAAUAACAUUCCAACAAGCACAAAACAAAAACAGAGAAUAAGAGAUUAAUUUCGACAGAAAAUAUCGCCUUACACAACAAAUCGCUUUAAAGUAAUACCACACAAAACUUUACUCAAAUUACUCCACUGGAAUACAGUAUCUGUUAAAAGACUUAAUGAACACACUGUACGGUCAAUGAACUAUCAUUUGCAAGUGAUUUAUAAAUUGUGAACGACCAGUGUGAAUGAGGCACAACUUAGCUCUUGUUCAAGUAUGUCUCUAGAAGAAGGCUCUACUGUGUUCACAACUGCACCAGCUGUAUAACUAGGCAGAGCGCUGCGCUCGAUAGCCUGAGAAAGAAUCAAGACAAUGGGAAAUACAACUUUCAGUACAAACCUUCAUUGACUAUGAGUGCCUGCGAAAAAGUGAAGACUACUCUGACAAUAAAUCGGUCGGAAAUGAACUCAG